CAUCAGUCAGGUGGUGCAUGGCUGUCGUCAGCUCGUGUCGUGAGAUGUUGGGUUAAGUCCCGCAACGAGCGCAACCCUUAUUCUUAGUUGUUUCCCUUUGGGAUUUACCCUCUAAGAAGACUGCCUCGGGAUAACGGGGAGGAAGGUGGGGAUGACGUCAAGUCCGCAUGCUCCUUACGUCUAGGGCUACACACGUCCUACAAUGGGGUCGACAAUGGGAUGCAAUAUCGCAAGAUGGAGCCAAUCCCCAAACGGCCUCUCAGUUCGGAUUGUAGUCUGCAACUCGACUACAUGAAGUUGGAAUCGCUAGUAAUGGCAGAUCAGCAUGCUGCCGUGAAUACGUUCCCGGGUCUU
Molecule: ribosomal RNA, 354 nt
Filed under: uncultured bacterium
Lineage: Bacteria
Description: bacterial SSU rRNA
Rfam family: Bacterial small subunit ribosomal RNA
Source: RNAcentral